RNAcentral lists this ribosomal RNA (516 nucleotides) under uncultured bacterium. RNAcentral's name for it is "partial 16S ribosomal RNA". It matches the Rfam family "Bacterial small subunit ribosomal RNA", at positions 30 to 523 of the family's 1533-position model. The record is from RNAcentral.
AUUGAACGCUGGCGGUAUGCUUAACACAUGCAAGUCGAACGGCAGCAGCAAUAGUGAAGGCAACGGAUCUAUUGGCUGGCGAGUGGCGGACGGGUGAGUAACGCGUAGGAAUCUAGCCUAGAGCGGGGGAUAACUCGAGGAAACUCGAGCUAAUACCGCAUAAACUCUACGGAGAAAAGAGGGCCUCUAUUUAUAAGCUCUCACUUUAGGAUGAGCCUGCGUCCGAUUAGCUAGUUGGUAGGGUAAAGGCCUACCAAGGCGACGAUCGGUAGCUGUUCUGAGAGGAAGACCAGCCACACUGGGACUGAGACACGGCCCAGACUCCUACGGGAGGCAGCAGUGGGGAAUAUUGGACAAUGGGGGCAACCCUGAUCCAGCAAUACCGCGUGUGUGAAGAAGGCCUGGGGGUUGUAAAGCACUUUUGUUGGGGAAGAGAGCUUUGUGGCGAAUAGCCAUGAGGGGAGACGUUACCCAAAGAAUAAGCACCGGCUAACUCUGUGCCAGCCGCCGCCGUAA